Molecule: ribosomal RNA, 253 nt
Filed under: uncultured bacterium
Lineage: Bacteria
Description: partial 16S ribosomal RNA
Rfam family: Bacterial small subunit ribosomal RNA
Source: RNAcentral
UACGGAGGGUGCAAACGUUGCUCGGAAUCAUUGGGCGUAAAGCGCACGUAGGCGGAUCGCUAAGUCGGAUGUGAAAGCCCUCGGCUUAACCGAGGAAGUGCAUUCGAAACUGGCAGUCUUGAGUAUGGAAGAGGGUCGCGGAAUUCCCGGUGUAGAGGUGAAAUUCGUAGAUAUCGGGAGGAACACCAGUGGCGAAGGCGGCGACCUGGGCCAAUACUGACGCUGAGGUGCGAAAGCGUGGGGAGCAAACAGG